CAAAAAGGAUUAUGUCAUGGAACCACAGGACCCAGGAUACCCACAGCUUCUCCAUAAACUUGGCAAGCCCUAGGAGCAACCCCAGAAUCCAGCAGGUAUCAACAGCUGCAUCCCAGCCUGUCACUACAGCCAAGAGGGGAGUGGGCCUCUUCCCAAGCACUUCGUACAGUGCUCUGCACAAACUCUGGUAAUGAAAGGAAGAAAUUAAAAUCUAAGGUGGGAUGGGGAAGGAGAGGAAGAGGAAGAAGGGGAUACGACGACAGAGCUACCUCUCAUGUAGAAGACAACCGGUGCCUGGCGAUUUUUUCCCCCCAAGUUAACCAUGGAUACACACACACACCCACACAAUUCCUGGAAAAAU
Molecule: long non-coding RNA, 361 nt
Organism: Ornithorhynchus anatinus (platypus)
Lineage: Eukaryota; Metazoa; Chordata; Mammalia; Monotremata; Ornithorhynchidae
Exons: 3
Source: RefSeq, a predicted model, not a curated record